Molecule: RNA transcript, 4869 nt
Organism: Mustela lutreola (European mink)
Lineage: Eukaryota; Metazoa; Chordata; Mammalia; Carnivora; Mustelidae
Gene: FANCG
Gene name: FA complementation group G
Exons: 14
Source: RefSeq, a predicted model, not a curated record
AGAUCAUGACCUGAGCUGAAACCAAGAGCUGGACACUGACCUGACUGAGCCAUCCAGGCAUCCCUCUUUUUUUUUUUUUUUUUUUAGGUAGACUCCACUCCUGAGUUGGGACUUGAAUUCUUUUGACGCUGAGAUCAAGAGACCCAUGUUCUACUGACUGAGCCAACUGCCCUAGUCUUUUCAUUUUCUUUUUUUUAAAGAUUUUAUUUAUUUAUUUGACAGAGAGAAAUCACAAGUAGACAGAGAGGCAGGCAGAGAGAGAGAGAGAGAGAGAGAAGCAGGCUCCCUGCUGAGCAAAGAGCCCGAUGCAGGACUCCAUCCCAGGACCCCGAGAUCAUGACCCGAGCCGAGGGCAGCGGCUUUAACUCACUGAGCCACCCAGGUGCCCCUAGUUUUAGAAAAAAUUUUAUCACUCCUACAGAGUCCCUAUACUUUGUUUACAACUGAUCCUCAGUUUCACUGCAGGUCACUGAUCUGUUUUCUGUUUUUCUAAAUUUGUCUUUUCUGAACAUUUCAUACAAAUGGGGUCAUCAAAUAUGUGGUCUUUAAUUUUUAUUUAUUUGACAGAGAUCACAAGUAGGCAGAGAGGCAGGCAAAGAAAGAGAGGGGGAAGCAAGCUCCUUGCUGAGCAGAGAACCCAAUGUGUGGCUUAAUCCUUGGACCCUGGGAUCAUGACCUGAGCCAAAGGCAGAGGCUUAACCCACUGAGCCACCCAGGCACCCCAAUGACUUAGAAUUUUUUAAGGUUCAUCCAUGUUGAAGCAUGUAUCAGUUUUUGCCUCUUUAUUGCUGAGUCAUAGUCCAUUGUAUGGCUAUGAUCUGCUAAUGGACAUUUGGAUUGCUUUUAGGGUUUUUUGUUUUUUAGCUAUUAUGAAUAUUUUUGGAGCUGCUGUGAGCAUUUGCAUACCAUUCUUGGUGUAGAUGUGUUUUUAUUUUUCUUGAGAGGUUUCCCUAGAGUAGAAUUUUUGGGUCCUAUGAUAAGCUUAUGAUUUAAUUUUUAAGAAACUGCCAGACUAUUUUCCAAGGUAACUAUAACAUUUUAUAUUCCCACUAUGUGUAAGAGUUCUAGUUCUUCCACAUCCUCACUAACAUUUGGUAUCACCUGUGUUUUUAUUUGUUUGUUUGUUUAUUUAUUUAAAGUAGGCUCCACACUUAAUGUGGAGCUAGAACUCUAAACUGUGAGAUCAAGAGUCACACACCCUACGGACUGAGCCAGCCAGGUACCCCUGGCAUUAUCUGCAUUUUAAGAAUUGUAACCAUUCUGUGUGUGUACAUGUGUCAUGGUAUUUUAUGGUUUUAUUAUUUUUUAAAGAUUUUUAAAAAAGAUUUUAUUCUUUUAAGUAAUUUCUACACCCAACAUGGGGCUUGAACUUGCAACUCCAAGAUCAAGAGACAUACUGAGCCAGCCAGGUUAUCUUGUGGUUUUAAUUUGCAUUUCCCUGAUGGCUAAUCAUUUUUUAAUAUGGUGCUUAGCCAUUCAUGUACCUUUUUUCCCCAUAAAAUUCCUAUUCAUGUUUUUCUGUUCAUCUUAAAAUGGUUUAGAUUCUUUUCAUUAUUGAGCUUUGAGAGUUACAUAUUGUGGAUACUGGUCGGUUAUAAGAUUAUAAGGUAGGUAAUAAUCGGAAAAUAAUUUCUCCAUUUUUGACUUUGCAUUUUCUUUCUUUUUUUAAGAUUUUAUUUACUUGACAGACACAGAUCACAAGUAGGCAGAGAGGAAGGCAGAGAGAGAUGAAGGGAAGCAGGUGCCCUGCUGAAGAGCCUGAUGCAAGGCUGGAUCCCAGGACACUGGGAUCAUGACCUGAGCUGAAGGCAGAGACUUUAACCCACUGAGCCACCCAGGCACCCCUACUUUUCUUGAUCUUGCCUUUGUAGCAAAAGUUCUUAAUGAAGUUCAGCUUACCCAUAUUGAGUUGGUUUUAUCUGUGGUAAGGGUCACAGUUUUGCUUUGUUUCUGCGUACUGAUAGCCAGUUCUCUUGGGUCUCAUUUGUUGAAAGGGGCAGGUACCUUUGAGCAGAGCGGGUUGUGCAAGCCCAGGGCCAUUUUGCCAGCAGUCGGCCUGCAUAGGGUUGAGCAGAAUGCGGUAGCGUGCUGGUGCUCCAUGGUGAGCAAAGAAAGGAUGGGCGGAUUAGCAAGGGCCCUGGUCUGGCCUCAGUUCGUUUUUGGAGAUACUUUGUGCCUCGGCUGGGUAUUUUGUGGCGACUCCGGGCGGUACUACGAUUCCCAGCAUGCACUGCGCGGGCCUGCCCUCUGCGGGGGCAAAGCUAGACAGACCUGGAAGUGUGGCUGCGAGGGAAGGGAUGGGACACGGUUUCUAGUACCGAGAUCGAUUUCUCAGGGUUUUGGCCUGCGCGAAGGACUAGCAAGCCGAACCCUGAGAAGUACCACUUCCGCCCUCUGGUCCGCCGUAGCCUCUCUCACGCAUCGCUACCCGACUCGUUUCUUCCUCGAGGUUCCCGCGGGCACUAACCCUUGAAGAGGACCAACCGCAGCCGAGAGUUUUGCCGGCCGGGCCAACCAGAGGCGAGAUGGAAGAGGCGGGGGUGGGAGCCGCCACAGUGUCCAGGAGAUAGUCCAUUUCUCCUGUAAAGGGCGAGUCGCUCCUGCUGGGGCCCGGAGGGGAGCAAAGGAGCUGCGGGGGGUUUCGGAAGCGGAAGGACCCCUCCCCGCUCCGGUGGGGACCGCGGCGGGGCCGGGCUUACCUUUCAGGGUUCCCCUCCAGGUGUCCAACCCCAGCCUAGACCACCAUGUCGCACCAGAACCCUCUGGGCACCUCAGUGCCACACACCAGCUGCCUAGACCUGUGGAGGGAAAAGAAUGACCAGCUCGUUCGACAGGCCAAGGUGGCUCAGGACUCGGGUCUGUCUCUGAGGCGACAGCAGUUGGCUCAAGAUUCACUGGAAGGGUUCAGGGGACUCCUCCAUAGUCUGAGGGGGCUCCCUGCAGCUGUUCCUGUUCUCCCCUUGGAAUUGACUGUUACCUGCAAUUUCAUUACCCUGAGGGCGAGCCUGGCCCAGGGUUUCACUGAGGACCAGGCACAGGAUAUCCAACAGGGCCUGGAGAGAGUGCUGGAGACCCAGAAGAAGUUGGGGCCCAGACUGGAAUGUGGGCUCAGGGGGCUGUGGGACUCCGUUCUCCAUUAUUCCACCCUUCUCCUGGAGGUGCUCCCUGCCCUUCACCACCUGGCUGGCCUGCAGGCUGCCGUCUGGCUAAGCACUGACUGUUUGGGGGACUUGACCUUCUUGCUGCAGACCUUGAAUGGCAACCAGAGCGAGGCCUCUGAGAAUCUGCUGCUGCUUCUGAAAACUUGGAGCCCUCCAGCUGAGGAGUCAGAUGCUCCACUGACCCUGCAGGAUGCCCGGGGCUUAAGGGAUAUCCUUCUUACAGCUUCUGCCUAUCGCCAAGGCCUCCAGGAGCUGAUCACAGGAAGCCUGCCCAGGGCACUGAGCAGCCUACAGGAAGCAGCCUCAGGUCUAUGCUCACGACCUGUGUUGGUCCAGGUGUACACGGCUCUGGGGACCUGUCUCCGUAAAAUGGGCAAUCCACAAAGAGCUCUGCUGUACUUGGCUGCAGCCCUGAAAGGGGGGUCAACGUGUGGUCCCCCACUUCUGGAGGCCUCUAGGCUGUAUCGGCAACUGGGGAACACAGCAGCAGAGCUGGAGAGUCUGGAGCUGUUGGUUGAGGCCUUGAAUGUCACUCACAGUUUUGAAGCCCCUCAGCUUCUCAUUGAAGUAGAGUUACUACUCCCCAGACCUCACCCAGCCUCACCCCUUCAUUGUGGCACACCGAGCCAGGCCAAGUACUUGCUAGCAAGCCGAUGUUUACAGGUGGGAAGGGCAGAGGAUGCUGCAGAGCAUUACUUGGACCUACUGGCUCUGGUGCUGGAUGGCUCAGAAUCAAAGUUCUUUCCCCCGCCUUCCCCUCCAGGGCCUUGUAUGCCUGAGGUGUUCUUAGAGGCAGCUGCAGCACUGAUCCAGGCUGGCCGAGCCCAGGAUGCCUUGACUGUAUGUGAGGAGCUACUCAGCCGCACAUCAUCUCUGCUUCCCAAGAUGCCCCAGCUGAGGGAAGAUGCCAGAAAAGGAACCAAAGAGUCACCACACUGCCCAUCCUGGGUCUCUGCAACCUACCUGCUUCAGGGUCAAGCCUGGGUGCAGCUGGGGGCCCCAAAAGAGGCAAUUAGUGAAUUUAGCCGGUGCCUUGAGCUGCUUUUCCGGACCACACCUAAGGAUGAAGAACAAGGGCCUGCUUCCAAUCGUGAGAAGGGGUGUAUAUCAGAUGUGGCACUACAACAGCUUCGGGCAGCUGCCCUGAUUAGUCGUGGACUUCAGUGGGUGGCCGUUGACCAAGAUACGAAAGCCCUACAGGACUUCCUUCUCAGUGUGCAAAUGUGCCCAGACUCUGAGGAGAAUGGAUCGGAGGCAUGAGGCCACUGCUCUCUGGUGGAGGCUAAAGGCCCAAACAGAGUUGCCACAGGAGAAUGCUGCAUGGUCUCUCCCCCUGUACCUAGAAACCUAUCUGGACUGGAUUCAUUCCCCUGACCGUGAAACCCUUCUUGAGGAGUUUCAGACAUCUCUGCCGGAGCCUCAUGAACUGUAGCUGCCACAUUUUAAAGAGCCUGAGCUGGGGCUCCAGUGGCCCAUUUCUCCGUGGGGACGGCUUUCUGCUUUACCAUUCUUGAGGAGUGUGGGUGAAAUGGAUCAUUCCUGUAUAAGUCUGGUAUUGGUGAAGUUGGUAGGAGUCCUGCAAAAUUUGGCCUAGUUACUGCCAUUCUGGUUCCUUUGCCACCAAAAAGGCAUUAACUUUGCUAUGACUGACACCUUUUUUUCCUAUAUUCCUGUUAAUUGUGUUGAGUAAAAUGCAUAUUUAUCUCUU